This 253-nucleotide ribosomal RNA is filed under the name uncultured bacterium. RNAcentral's name for it is "partial 16S ribosomal RNA". It matches the Rfam family "Bacterial small subunit ribosomal RNA", at positions 524 to 776 of the family's 1533-position model. The record is from RNAcentral.
UACGGAGGGUGCAAGCGUUAUCCGGAUUCACUGGGUUUAAAGGGUGCGUAGGUGGGUUGGUAAGUCAGUGGUGAAAUCUCCGAGCUUAACUUGGAAACUGCCAUUGAUACUAUCAGUCUUGAAUACCGUGGAGGUCAGCGGAAUAUGUCAUGUAGCGGUGAAAUGCUUAGAUAUGACAUAGAACACCAAUUGCGAAGGCAGCUGGCUACACGAAUAUUGACACUGAGGCACGAAAGCGUGGGGAUCAAACAGG